GGUAAAAUGAUUCUCUAGGAAUUAAAAUUUGAGCUCUUUAAAGAAGAGGUAUAGUAGAGUGGUUUCUCUUUUUCCUCAAGAAAAGUCUUGGCCUACCCAAAAGAAAUAUGUUAGAUCUGCAGGAAGACUACCAAAUUCUAGGACCAACAUGUCAAAAUAGACUAAAGACAUAGGAUUUUUGGCUCCUAACAGUUGAUAGAUCACAUUUUCCUACAAAUCAUCCUCUACAAUUGGACACAAGUUAUAUGAGACCUUUUUACAAAGCAUCUGCUUUCUUUUCUGUUGCAACGUUACUAGUUCUUGCUCCAAAGAGCAAGGAGGAUAAUAAAGGCUCUUAACUCUCUGAUUUUCAUGAAGAUUCUAUGAAUUUUUUCACUACUAUAAAAAGUAAACAUAUGAACUAUUAAGUAUAUACAGAUGCCAAACACAGAGUGGUGAGACCAAUGGAAAGCACCCGACAUCCAGACCCUGUACCUAAGAUCCCAACCCAGUCAGAGACUUGGAAAUCCAUUUACCUCAAUGAUGAGACAGAAAAUAAACUUACAGGAGACAGUGGCCAUGUCAUCUAAUAGUUCUGUACGUUCCAAGUAGCCUCAUGUUGAUGUUACGCUGUCUAAAAAUAUCCAAUAUCCAUGGCAGCACCAGUAUAUUCAAAAACAUACCAAUGUCCUCAUUAAGGUGAGACUCAAAUGUGCUUCUGACCUUCAACUUUGAGAAUAGUGCCCCAGAGGCAUUUCAGCACCUGUGUCCAACUUGUUCCAACUCACUGCAAUCACUUAGCAGGAGAAAAGUCUAUAUUGCGAAGGAUUAUAGUCAUUGGAUUGGUUUGCUCUUAAAAAAGCUAUUUAGAGUUUGAAGAGCAAGCUGCUUGCUGAACAAAAAUCUUCAGAUACAAUCAAGCACAGAAUUUCAACUGGACCUCAAGUAUUUCACAAAAGAAAUGAUAUAUCAGUUGUCCAAAGAGAAUGAAACACCUGUUUCUAAGAGUGAUUUAAGUCAAUAAGUAAUAAACUAAAUCUUUGUUAUGAAUGCUUUCUGGUGUCUAAAUGACUGCUGCCCUUUUGGCGGGCAAAGUGUACAAAAGAUUUGGUGACCUUCUGACUUGACAGUCAAAUAACUACUAUUAUGUUUGGUCAAUGUAAAUAAGCACAGUUGACAAUUUGCUAAUUGGCCGUCUCUAGGCAGCCAAGUGUACUUUUGACCUUA
Molecule: long non-coding RNA, 1206 nt
Organism: Odocoileus virginianus texanus
Lineage: Eukaryota; Metazoa; Chordata; Mammalia; Artiodactyla; Cervidae
Source: RefSeq, a predicted model, not a curated record